GAAAUGCGAUAAGUAAUGUGAAUUGCAGAAUUCAGUGAAUCAUCGAAUCUUUGAACGCACCUUGCGCUCCUUGGUAUUCCUUGGAGCAUGCCUGUUUGAGUAUCAUGAAAUCUUCAAAGUAAAUCUUUUGUUAACUCAAUUGGUUUCUACUUUGGUAUUGGAGGUCUUUGCAGCUACACACCUGCUCCUCUUUGUUCAUAGCUGGAUCUCAGUGUUAUGCUUGGUUCCACUCGGCGUGAUAAGUUAUCUAUCGCUGAGGACACUGUAAAAGGUGGCCAAGGUAAAUGCAGAUGAACCGCUUCUAAUAGUCCAUUGACUUGGACAAUACUUUUAUGAUCUGAUCUCAAAUCAGGUAGGACUACCCGCUGAACUUAAGC
RNAcentral lists this unclassified non-coding RNA (377 nucleotides) under plant metagenome. RNAcentral describes it as "partial contains 5.8S ribosomal RNA, internal transcribed spacer 2, and large subunit ribosomal RNA". The stretch from base 1 to 105 matches the Rfam family "5.8S ribosomal RNA", at positions 50 to 154 of the family's 154-position model. The record is from RNAcentral.